UGAACUAAGUUUUUGGAAUCCUUAGGCUUCCACGUGUGGAAAGCCUGAGCUAACCUACUGGAGGAUGAGCCAUCACCUGGAGCAGAUUCAGGCCAUCCUAGUUGAAGCCUCCCUAGGCCAAGCAACCGUCCAACUACCAGACAUUGACCAUUCAGCCUUGAACAUUCAGCACAAAGACAAAACAGACCAGACCAGAAGAGUCCCACAGAAUAGGGGAAACUAUUCAGAGAAAACUUAAGCCACUAAGUUUUAUGGUGUUUUGUUCUGUAGCAGAAGCAUAGGCAUACUGACAAUACAAACCGAAAUCCUUCUAACGUAGUGGACCUUUUCAGGC
Molecule: long non-coding RNA, 334 nt
Filed under: Homo sapiens (human)
Lineage: Eukaryota; Metazoa; Chordata; Mammalia; Primates; Hominidae
Description: long non-coding RNA NONHSAT162013.1
Source: RNAcentral